This 30-nucleotide non-coding RNA is filed under the name Homo sapiens (human). Lineage: Eukaryota; Metazoa; Chordata; Mammalia; Primates; Hominidae. The record is from RNAcentral.
GGGACUUGUAUCUUUAAUUGCCUGGGCUUG